This 1489-nucleotide long non-coding RNA is filed under the name Phaseolus vulgaris (common bean). RNAcentral's name for it is "long non-coding RNA (PVUL_LNC004887)". The record is from RNAcentral. Lineage: Eukaryota; Viridiplantae; Streptophyta; Magnoliopsida; Fabales; Fabaceae.
UAGAUUUGAGGGAAAAACAUAUUUAAACUUUUUUAUAAGUUUAAAAUAUAAGUAAAUUCAAAUUCAGCAGUUAUGUAGUACAACAGUUCCUCGAGUGGCAUCAUGCAUGUUGUAACACCCCAUAAUUUACCUAUAACUAUUACAAUACCGAUUCUACAUAUUUCUAUACAAGCUUACAGUUUUUCAAAAUAUUCCUAAUACGUGAUUAGGACAUAUAGAAAUACAAAUAUUUACAAUAUAAGUUUCAAAAUCAACGACUUAAAACUCUUCUGAUCCUCAGACACCUGUAAGAUCAUCUGCUCGUGUACGUAGUACAGUCAUCGCAGUUCAAACACAACAAGAAAAGCAAGGGUAAGCUAGUGAAAAUAGAAUUUUAUAAUGUACGCAAUUAAAUCAAAAGAGAAAACCAAAUUACAUGAUCAAUUUCUCAAAUUAUACAAUCUUCUUCAAAUCCCAACAUUAGAACAAUCACAUAGAUCUCACAUGGAUCUACACAUCCAAGAUAUUCAACAAACAACGUCUUCCGGAAGACCCGUAUUAAGUAAGUCCUACCAGAGACUAACACCUGAUCCAAAGAUUACCAGCGAAUCCAACAGAAAGGAUCAAGGUAAGUUCAAUACAACCCAAGCCGUGCAUCCAUAUGUCACGGUGUGCAUGAACUCCCCCAUCAGCUUCUCACCACCUGAUAUCUUAGUCUAUGUGACUUAGAUCAUCAGUGAAGCUCGGAGAUCUCUGUUACCACAUAGGCAUCAAUACUUAAUACACAGCAAACAUCAGUCCAUACAUUAUCCCAAAUGUAUGAAUUCAAUUCCAUACCAUUCCGUCAUACAAUAUCAUUCAAAAAGUGAUCCACAAUAUUCAAAAGCGUAAUUAACAUAAAAAACAACACUUAAAUAUUAAACCAUCAAAAUAUAAUAUUUUUACAAAUUUAAAUAAUAUAUAAACAAACAACCCAAUAUAUAAACACACAACAUCCCUGCAAGAAAAAAUGAAUAUUGGGACCACGUCCCUUCCGCAUUCAGAUCUUCUAUCCUAGGGUGCUAUUAAAAAUUAAAUUUAGCUUCCCUUACCUCAAUUGCUUGCUUUCCAAGCAACUUUUAGAAUUUUAUUCCCCACCGUUUGGAUAAGCUUCAAGAUUUACGGGCCUAAUGCAAAUUAUCCAAACAGAACAAAAUUUCAGUAUAUAAUAGAAUAAGUUGAGAGGAUUAAACUUCUCAACUGACCCCACCAAGAUUAAUGACUAAAUCCUAAGGAAAAACAGAGAACACAGGAUAUUUAGAGUAAAAAUGAACUUACUCUGUUUGAAAAUCUGAUCGGGUAGAAAUGUUCUUUAACUCCUCUGCUACAGCGUGGUAUGAUCAGAUUCUAAAAUAGAUGAAGAUUGGGAGAGAAAUUAAGAGAGAGGGAGAGAAGAGAAUUGGAGAGAGAAAGAAAAAAAAAAUUGUGGUGGGAAAGAAGGGGCUUCUCUGCCCCUUUAUUUUUAUUUUUU